UGUCGAAUCCUGUUGUUCCUUGCUGAGUUCAUUUCGUUUUCUGCCGAGUCACGAUACUGAAUUCAUGCUCUGUUUCGCUGAGUUUCGAGUAGUCCUGGUUCGAGUCUUGAGUUGUUGAUGCGUUUGAUUUUGCUGUGUAUUGGCUGAGUUUUGGGUCCGCUUUGCUAGUGAAUUUUUGUUUAGAUAGAGUUCUUUGUUUCCGAGUCUGCAGGCUGUUUCUGCAUUUUGUUUUAGAGUCGCUUUCACUGUUCCUUUAGCUAGUCGAA
Molecule: long non-coding RNA, 266 nt
Filed under: Daucus carota (carrot)
Lineage: Eukaryota; Viridiplantae; Streptophyta; Magnoliopsida; Apiales; Apiaceae
Description: long non-coding RNA (DCAR_LNC006963)
Source: RNAcentral